RNAcentral lists this ribosomal RNA (253 nucleotides) under uncultured bacterium. RNAcentral's name for it is "partial 16S ribosomal RNA". It matches the Rfam family "Bacterial small subunit ribosomal RNA", at positions 99 to 353 of the family's 1533-position model. The record is from RNAcentral.
CGGACGGGUGAGUAAUGUCUGGGAAACUGCCUGAUGGAGGGGGAUAACUACUGGAAACGGUAGCUAAUACCGCAUAACGUCGCAAGACCAAAGAGGGGGACCUUCGGGCCUCUUGCCAUCAGAUGUGCCCAGAUGGGAUUAGCUAGUAGGUGGGGUAACGGCUCACCUAGGCGACGAUCCCUAGCUGGUCUGAGAGGAUGACCAGCCACACUGGAACUGAGACACGGUCUAGACUCCUACGGGAGGCAGCAUG